GAUGAACGCUGGCGGCGUGCCUAAUACAUGCAAGUAGAGCGAACGGACGAGAAGCUUGCUUCUCUGAUGUUAGCGGCGAACGGGUGAGUAACACGUGGAUAACCUACCUAUAAGACUGGGAUAACUUCGGGAAACCGUAGCUAAUACCGGAUAAUAUUUUGAACCGCAUGGUACUAAAGUGAAAGACGGUCUUGCUGUCACUUAUAGAUGGAUCCGCGCUGCAUUAGCUAGUUGGUAAGGUAACGGCUUACCAAGACAACGAUGCAUAGCCGACCUGAGAGGGUGAUGGGCCACACGGGAACUGAGACACGGUCCGGACUCCUACGGGAGGCAGCAGUAGGGAAUCUUCCGAAAUGGGCGAAAGCCUGACGGAGCAACGCCGCGUGAGUGAUGAGGGUCUUCGGAUCGUAAAACUUUGUUAUUAGGGAAGAACAGAGUUGUAAGUAACUGUGCACAUCUUGACGGUACCUAAUCAGAAAGCCACGGCUAACUACGUG
This 497-nucleotide ribosomal RNA is filed under the name uncultured bacterium. RNAcentral describes it as "partial 16S ribosomal RNA". It matches the Rfam family "Bacterial small subunit ribosomal RNA", at positions 28 to 507 of the family's 1533-position model. The record is from RNAcentral.